This 571-nucleotide small RNA is filed under the name Pongo abelii (Sumatran orangutan). RNAcentral describes it as "retained intron". Lineage: Eukaryota; Metazoa; Chordata; Mammalia; Primates; Hominidae. The record is from RNAcentral.
GCAGAGCUCGGAUCAGACCCUCGUGGUCUGGCUGUAGAGCCCGUGUUCUAAUCAUUUUGUUACACUGCCUCUCAGAUGCUUCCAUUCUGCUUUCUUCCAUGUGCAAACUAUUGUGUGCAAUCCUGUAUAUGAUGAUGAUCAUAUUUUAUUUUUUUCUGUCUGAGAAGACUUAUUUUUCAUAAAAGAGAGUUUUCUUAUGUGAUAUGAAUUAAGGUUCAUAAGGUUAGUUUGCGAAGUUGCAUUCUUUGUAUCAAUAAUUUAUUUUUCCACUGUUUAAAUUAUUGGAUAGAUGUUGCUAUCGGAGCUCCACAGGAAGAUGACUUGCGAGGUGCUAUUUAUAUUUACAAUGGCCGUGCAGAUGGGAUCUCAUCAACCUUCUCACAGAGAAUUGAAGGACUUCAGAUCAGCAAAUCGUUAAGUAUGUUUGGACAGUCUAUAUCAGGACAAAUUGAUGCAGAUAAUAAUGGUUAUGUAGAUGUAGCAGUUGGUGCUUUUCGGUCUGAUUCUGCUGUGUUGCUAAGGACAAGACCUGUAGUAAUUGUUGAAGCUUCUUUAAGCCACCCUGAGUCAG